AAACAUGGAUUCAAUGUUUGGUGAAGUAAUAUGCUUAGUGGCGGACGGGUGAGUAACGCGUGAACAAUCUGCCCUAUACAAAGGAAUAGCCUCGGGAAACUGGGAUUAAAACCAUAUAACACUUUUCGUUCGCAUGGAUGAGAAGUCAAAUUGAUUAAGAGGUAUAGGAUGAGUUCGCGUCUGAUUAGCUAGUUGGUGAGGUAAUGGCUCACCAAGGCGACGAUCAGUAGCCGGCCUGAGAGGGUGAACGGCCACACUGGAACUGAGACACGGUCCAGACUCCUACGGGAGGCAGCAGUGGGGAAUAUUGCACAAUGGGCGAAAGCCUGAUGCAGCGACGCCGCGUGAGUGAAGAAGGUCUUCGGAUCGUAAAACUCUUUAAUAAUGGGAAGGAAUGACGGUAGCCAAGGAGGAAGCCCCGGCUAACUACGUGCCAGCAGCCGCGGUAAUACGUAGGGGGCGAGCGUUGUCCGGAUUUACUGGGCGUAAAGGGUGAGUAGGCGGUUGUAUGUGUCAGAUGUAAAAGGCUAUGGCUUAACCAUAGUUGGCAUUUGAAACUGUACAACUUGAGUGCAGGAGAGGUAAGUGGAAUUCCUAGUGUAGCGGUGAAAUGCGUAGAUAUUAGGAGGAACACCAGUGGCGAAGGCGACUUACUGGACUGUAACUGACGCUGAGUCACGAAAGCGUGGGUAGCAAACAGGAUUAGAUACCCUGGUAGUCCACGCUGUAAACGAUGAGUGCUAGGUGUUGGGUAGCGAUAUUCAGUGCCGAAGUUAACACAAUAAGCACUCCGCCUGGGGAGUACGGUCGCAAGACUGAAACUCAAAGGAAUUGACGGGGACCCGCACAAGCAGCGGAGCAUGUGGUUUAAUUCGAAGCAACGCGAAGAACCUUACCAAGGUUUGACAUCCCCUUGACAGAUGCAGAGAUGUGUCCUCCCCUUCGGGGGCAAGGGAGACAGGUGGUGCAUGGUUGUCGUCAGCUCGUGUCGUGAGAUGUUGGGUUAAGUCCCGCAACGAGCGCAACCCUUAUCCUUAGUUGCCAGCAAGUUAAGUUGGGCACUCUAAGGAGACUGCCGAUGAUAAAUCGGAGGAAGGUGGGGAUGACGUCAAAUCAUCAUGGCCUUUAUGUCCUGGGCUACACACACGCUACAAUGGCCGGUACAAUAGGUUGCGAAGCCGCGAGGCGGAGCCAAUCCUCAAAGCCGGCCUCAGUUCAGAUUGCAGGCUGCAACUCGCCUGCAUGAAGAUGGAGUUGCUAGUAACCGCAGGUCAGCUAUACUGCG
This 1285-nucleotide ribosomal RNA is filed under the name uncultured bacterium. RNAcentral describes it as "bacterial SSU rRNA". It matches the Rfam family "Bacterial small subunit ribosomal RNA", at positions 64 to 1361 of the family's 1533-position model. The record is from RNAcentral.